RNAcentral lists this long non-coding RNA (494 nucleotides) under Phoenix dactylifera (date palm). RNAcentral describes it as "long non-coding RNA (PDAC_LNC022482)". Lineage: Eukaryota; Viridiplantae; Streptophyta; Magnoliopsida; Arecales; Arecaceae. The record is from RNAcentral.
UAUGUGCUUACAUGGUGCUUCUAUAUAUGAUUUGGAUGAAUCCAAUUCAGACUGGCUUGGCCAAAAUUAGUAUAUCUAAUUCAAUUAGUUUAUGAAAUCAAUAAUUAACGACAUAAGGAGAGAGAGUUGUGGGUGGUUGGAUGGGGGAAACAAGUGUGUGUGUGUGUGUGUGUGUGUGUAUGUAUGUAUGUAGAGAGUGAGAGAGACGGAGAGAGGGGGAGAGAGAGACUACGUGCAUUAUAUUAAUUCCUUGAAAAAGGAGUUAGUGAUUCAAAAUCAUUGAUAGACUGUCCAAAUUCAAGAUCCAAACUAGUGAAUAUGAUCUACGUCCAUUUCAUCUAUUUUUUCUAGAGCUUCCUGUUUUUCGAAACAAUGGGAAGGGUCUUCUUCGGCAGAUCCCCCUUGUUCCUAUUUAGUCUCCUUUAUCGGAAGUUGUUUCUACACCACUUUUCUUCCUUAAUUUCUCCCCUAUCUUCUGUUUCUAAGGUUUCUUU